AUACUCUGGUUUCUCUCCAGAUCAUAUAAGUCGUUCAUCAUUUACUAAAGAUUUCCAUGGACAGACACAAUUUUAAGUCUUAACUCAAUUUUUGAGGUCUUGGAUCUUUAGGGC
This 114-nucleotide small nuclear RNA is filed under the name Carlito syrichta (Philippine tarsier). RNAcentral's name for it is "U5 spliceosomal RNA (ENSTSYG00000029259.1)". It matches the Rfam family "U5 spliceosomal RNA". From Rfam's summary of the family: U5 RNA is a component of both types of known spliceosome. The record is from Rfam by way of RNAcentral. Lineage: Eukaryota; Metazoa; Chordata; Mammalia; Primates; Tarsiidae.